ACGGGUGCGUAACGCGUGGGAAUCUGCCCUUGGGUACGGAACAACAGUUAGAAAUGACUGCUAAUACCGUAUAAUGACUUCGGUCCAAAGAUUUAUCGCCCAGGGAUGAGCCCGCGUAGGAUUAGCUUGUUGGUGAGGUAAAGGCUCACCAAGGCGACGAUCCUUAGCUGGUCUGAGAGGAUGAUCAGCCACACUGGGACUGAGACACGGCCCAGACUCCUACGGGAGGCAGCAGUGGGGAAUAUUGGACAAUGGGCGAAAGCCUGAUCCAGCAAUGCCGCGUGAGUGAUGAAGGCCUUAGGGUUGUAAAGCUCUUUUACCCGGGAAGAUAAUGACUGUACCGGGAGAAUAAGCCCCGGCUAACUCCGUGCCAGCAGCCGCGGUAAUACGGAGGGGGCUAGCGUUGUUCGGAAUUACUGGGCGUAAAGCGCACGUAGGCGGCUUUGUAAGUUAGAGGUGAAAGCCCGGGGCUCAACCCCGGAAUUGCCUUUAAGACUGCAUCGCUAGAAUUGUGGAGAGGUAAGUGGAAUUCCGAGU
This 537-nucleotide ribosomal RNA is filed under the name uncultured bacterium. RNAcentral's name for it is "bacterial SSU rRNA". It matches the Rfam family "Bacterial small subunit ribosomal RNA", at positions 102 to 674 of the family's 1533-position model. The record is from RNAcentral.